AAUUCAUAAUGGAAAUUAUAUUAUAAAUAUCAAAUGCGGAAGCGAAAACAAAAUUGAUUAACAUCCCUUACACUAAAACAAAAAACGUGCUCACAAAAUAUAAAAGAUUAAACUACCUAAAGGGGAAACUUGAAAGUAAAAACUACGAAUGUGACUAUGGAGUCCUUAGGCGUCCCCUUCGUCGUCCUCCUGCGGAACCGGCUCGGGAACGAUGUCCUCUUGAUCUGAAAUGAUUAAAUAAGAAAUGAGCUACACUAGCCCAGUAAAGACACCACGAUAUCUCACCGUCACGGAGGUAAAGGUGGG
RNAcentral lists this long non-coding RNA (306 nucleotides) under Carica papaya (papaya). RNAcentral's name for it is "long non-coding RNA (CPAP_LNC007054)". The record is from RNAcentral. Lineage: Eukaryota; Viridiplantae; Streptophyta; Magnoliopsida; Brassicales; Caricaceae.